Molecule: transfer RNA, 114 nt
Filed under: Paecilomyces variotii No. 5
Lineage: Eukaryota; Fungi; Ascomycota; Eurotiomycetes; Eurotiales; Thermoascaceae
Description: Byssochlamys spectabilis No. 5 tRNA
Rfam family: tRNA
About the family: Transfer RNA (tRNA) molecules are approximately 80 nucleotides in length. Their secondary structure includes four short double-helical elements and three loops (D, anti-codon, and T loops).
Source: Rfam by way of RNAcentral
GACAGGGUGGCCGAGUGGUUAUGGCGACAGGCUUAAGUUAAGGAUCGCACCUAUUGGUGCGAUCUGGAGUCCUGUUGUAGAGAUACAUCCUGGGUUCGAACCCCAGUCCUGUCA